GGGGGGAAGUUCGUUGUAGAUGGCUUAGUGCCUUCGGGAACCGUGAGACAGGUGCUGCAUGGCUGUCGUCAGCUCGUGUUGUGAAAUGUUGGGUUAAGUCCCGCAACGAGCGCAACCCUUAUCCUUUGUUGCCAGCACGUAAUGGUGGGAACUCAAAGGAGACUGCCGGUGAUAAACCGGAGGAAGGUGGGGAUGACGUCAAGUCAUCAUGGCCCUUACGAGUAGGGCUACACACGUGCUACAAUGGCAUAUACAAAGAGAAGCGAACUCGCGAGAGCAAGCGGACCUCAUAAAGUAUGUCGUAGUCCGGAUUGGAGUCUGCAACUCGACUCCAUGAAGUCGGAAUCGCUAGUAAUCGUAGAUCAAAAUGCUACGGUGAAUACGUUCCCGGGUCUUGUACACACCGA
RNAcentral lists this ribosomal RNA (407 nucleotides) under Rahnella sp. OOR125. Its description in RNAcentral is "bacterial SSU rRNA". It matches the Rfam family "Bacterial small subunit ribosomal RNA", at positions 990 to 1393 of the family's 1533-position model. Lineage: Bacteria; Pseudomonadati; Pseudomonadota; Gammaproteobacteria; Enterobacterales; Yersiniaceae. The record is from RNAcentral.